UUAAAAAGCUCGUAGUUGAAUUUCGGGAUUAGUACGUUGGUCGUGCCUUCGGUACGUACUGGUGUUACUGAUUCCUACCUUCUGACGAACCAUCAUGUCAUUAAUUUGGUGUGGCGGGGAAUCAGGACUGUUACUUUGAAAAAAUUAGAGUAUUUAAAGCAGGCUCGCGCCUGAAUACAUUAGCAUGGAAUAAUGAAAUAGGACGUUGAUCCUAUUUUGUUGGUUUCUAGAAUUGACGUAAUGAUUAAUAGGGAUAGUUGGGGG
Molecule: ribosomal RNA, 264 nt
Filed under: uncultured Glomeromycotina
Lineage: Eukaryota; Fungi; Glomeromycota
Description: partial 18S ribosomal RNA
Rfam family: Eukaryotic small subunit ribosomal RNA
Source: RNAcentral